This is a long non-coding RNA of Oncorhynchus tshawytscha (Chinook salmon), 5725 nucleotides long. The record is from Ensembl. Lineage: Eukaryota; Metazoa; Chordata; Actinopteri; Salmoniformes; Salmonidae.
CAAAUGUGCAUCAUGAAAAAAGUCUGACACAGUUCUUAAGCAAAAAAUAAAAUGUAUAAACAUAUUUGUCAAUUUGUUUUAUUUUUCCAUGUAUGUUUUUUUUGUGUGCAUUUCUAGAGAGAACACUAGCCAAAGAACAACACAAGUUUAUUUUUGCUGUAAUCGUGAACAAAGCAUAACUAAUAUGGUACCAUGGUGUUUCAUUGUAUGUUAGUUAUACGUUGUGACACUGUGUUGUGAAACGCUUUCAUAAAAGGAAGGCAAACUGUUCUUCUGGGAUUUCAAACCAUGCACUGCUGAACAUCUAGUCAAAUGGCUACCCAGACUAUUCACAUCCCCCCCCCCUCCACACCACUGCCACUCUCUGUUGUCAUCUAUGCAUAAUCACUUUAAUAACUCUACCUACAUGUACAUACUACCUCAACUAACCGGUGCCCCUGCACAUUGACUCUGUACCGGCAUCCCCCUGUAUAUAUUGUUAUUUUUUUACUGUUCCUCUUUAAUUACUUGUUACUUUUAUCUCUUAUUCUUAUCUGUAUUUUUUUAAACAGGCACUGUCGGUUAGGGGCUCGUAAGUAAGCAUUUCACUGUAAGGUCUACUACACCUGUUGUAUUCGGCGCAUGUGACUAAUACAAUUUGAUUUGAUUUGCUGCUUAGUGUGUGAGUUAAAAUAUCAAAUGAUAAAUCAUAAAUAACACUAUUCAAUGGAGUAAGUCAAGGGGUAUGAAUACUUUCUGAAGGCACAGCUGGAGUCCUUAUCAAAUGGACUUAAGAUGUUAAGGUAACAGUUGCUGCUAGAAAAAACAAGCUUGCAGGUCUUGUGCAGUGAAAUACCUUGGUUCUCACUUUGAUUUCCUUCAAUCAGUGCAAUCAAAUCAACUAUCAAUUAAUGCCAGUUCAGAAUGCUUUGACUUUCAAAUGUCCUUUCUUUGGUUUUUAAUUAAGUUACUUUUGUUCUUCGGGGGGAAUAAACAAAUGCUAUUCAAACAUCAAUUUGUAAAACUUACAAAAAAUGGCCCUCAAUGUCUUGAAAUGGAGUAGGUACACUGGUGGUUAGUGCCAGCAGGGUGUGCACCAAAGCACAACUUUUUGGUUUUUGAAAACAGCAUAAAUAUUUGACGGUCUGUGCUAUCUCGCAUCCUUGGGAAUCCCAUUGAAGUUGACAUUUUAAAUGGUGUAGGUAAGAAUUAUGGUUAUAGUUAGGGUUUAGGGUAGGGACAUCCCAAGGAUCCCGGAGAGCACUGAAUUGUCAUGACAUUCUGUGACAUAGUACAUUCAUGUUUGGAUGAAAUUAUCAUUUCAUUUACUUUCCACUGUGAGGCUCAAUGUGAAUCAAUGCUCAAAUUCAAAGCCUGUAAAAUGUAAAUAGUUUUACACUCUCAGUAACACUUGUUACUUCUACUUUACUCCUUUAUAAAAACCAUGCUGAAAUUGUUCCUAUUCUUCCCCAGAUGACCAGGAGUCUCCAUCUUCAGAACCUUCAGAAGUAACAUUCACACCCUCUACCACAUCUUUACAAACCAGCUGCUUCACCUGUGAGGGCAUCUGUUUGUCCUCUUCUUCAAGGGUGGAAGCUUUAGGUGUGUCGCUGUCCAUCUUUGUGUUCCAAUUAGUUGCCUGUGGAUUCUCCAAAUCCACCCAGGAUAGGUUGUUAGCCAAGGCUAGGUUCUGAUUGGGUAGCUCGGUCACAUGGUCAUAUGGCUCAUCCGGUUGAUAGGGGGCUCCUGUCUCCAGAUUGGAACCCCAGAAGUUGUUGUGUACACCAGAGCUGAGGAAGCUGUGGAGGUCCCGGGCUUCGCUGUCAGUUUUGGAUGAUCUCUCAGAGUAUCUCUUGUGACCUGCAAAAGGAUCUCCAGAUUCCAGGUGUUUGUUUGGACUUUCUAAGACUUCCCAUUCAUCUGUCUGAAGACAUUCAUUACUUGCCUGAUAGCUAGUGACCUCUUCUGCAGAAUGUUCAAUAAGAGUAUUGCAAUCCUCAUAGUGAGAGACUGCCACAUCUAACAAGUCUUCCUGAUCUGCAGUUAGAUUUGCUUUGGUGACAGGUUGCAAAUACUGGCUUGCAUUUGGCGACUCAUCAUCUGUGCUGUUGGACUCUUCUAUAUCCAAGUUGUUCUUGUCGGUUUGACUCUCAGGCCUGCUGUUUAAACUGCUGUAGAUAGAAUGGCUUUCAGUGAAGUCUGCAUGAGUCGACAUAUAAAGGUUCUGGUCAUCCUGUCCUUCUAUUUUGUCUGGUACAGCUUCAGUUCCCAGUCCCCCACUGAAUACCUUACCUUGAGCCAAAUAUUCUUCUUGGGAUAUUUCUACUGAACCUUCUCUAAGAGAUGUGUGAUCAGAUGUCAUUAGAAUCCUAGAGUGCACCGAAUACAUAACCUCUGAGGAAAUACACUCUUGCUCAGACUGAUUCAGUUUCUCUGCACCUGGAGGUAUACACUCUUGCUCAGACUGAUUCAGUUUCUCUGCACCUGAAGGUAUACACUCUUGCUCAGACUGAUUCAGUUUCUCUGCACCUGAAGGUAUACACUCUUGCUCAGACUGAUUCAGUUUCUCUGCACCUGAAGGUAUAUACUCGGGAUCGGAUUGAUUCAUUUUCUCUCUGUCUGAGGGUAUGUGUUCUUGCUCACAUAUAUCCAGUUUCUCUCCGCCUGAAAUUAUGUACUCUGGCUCGAAUUGAUUCAGUUUCUGUCCACCUAAAGGUAUAUUCUCUUGUUCAGAUUGAUUCAGUUUCUCUCCGCCUGAAAUUAUAUACUCUGGCUCGAAUUGAUUCAGUUUCUGUCCACCUAAAGGUAUAUUUUCUUGCUCGGAUUGAUUCAUUUUCUCUCUGUCUGAGGGUAUAUGUUCUUGCUCACAUAUAUCCAGUGUCUCGCCGCCUGAAGUUAUAUCCUCUUGUUCAGAUUGAUUCAGUUUCUCUCCGCCUGAAAUUAUAUACUCUGGCUCAGAUUGAUUCAGUUUCUCUCCUCCUGAAGGUAUCUUCUCUUGUUCAGAUUGAUUCAUUUUCUCUCCAUCUGAGGGUAUGUUUUCUUGCACAUAUAGAUUCAGUUUCUCUCUGCCUGAGGGUAUAUACUCUUGUUCAGAUUGAUUCAGAUUCUCUCCAUCUGUGGGUAUGUGUUCUUGUGCAUUUAGAUUCAGUUUCUCUCCUCCUGAAGGUAUAUACUCUUGUUCAGAUUGAUUCAGUCUCUCUGAGUGUAUAUACUCUUGCUCAGGUUGAUUCAGUCUCUCUGAGUGUAUAUACUUUUGCUCAGUUUGAUUCAGUCUCUCUGAGUGUAUCUGCUCUACCUCCUCACUGUAUAAUAUGUCUUGUGUCUGGGAAAGUUCAGUGUGAGACUCAAUUUGAAGACUCAGUACUGACUCGCUCUCAAUCAUCUGCCCAGUAAAGUGUUCACUGUAACUGGAUAUAGAUAAAUUCUCUAGCUCUUGCUCCACCAAUCUAUCAAUUCUUUCUUCAUUAUAGUCCUCAUCAGAGCACACCAUGGAGUACUCUCCAGGUUCUGUAAGUUCCUCAUAGGAUUGCUCCUCUUCUGCCUCCUGAAUCAACUGAUCUACAGCAUUCUCCUCAUCGUUCUCCUGUGUAGCAUGCUCCUUUGUUUGGCUAGCAUCCACGUCGCCUUGGUGAGUGGAGCCCAUGUGACGUUCCUGAUCUAUGACAUCUCCUUCUGACUCUUCAUACAGAUCCUCCAUGGUGUCAAACUGUUUGGACUUGCCUUCGCCCCAGGUGUCUGUUCCUGUCUGGCAAACCUCCCUGUCCUCUUCACCAUCACUGGAGUCGCUCUCGCCCAUGUGUGAAGCCAGAGUGUUGACAUCCGUCUCGUCACUCUUGUAACGGAUCAAGGGGUGUGUGUCGGCUAGUGUGUUGUCCUGAGCAUAGCUGUCGCCUUCUAGCUCAGCCCUCCAUGAAACAGAAUUAUUUUGACAGUAGUUUGCCUCAUCAUGAUCCUCUUUGUCAUUGUCGGAUAUAUUCAGUUUAUCUCCGCCUGAAGUUAUGUACUCUGGCUCGGAUUGAUUCAGUUUCUCUCCACCUGAAGGUAUAUACUCUGACUCGGAUUGAUUCAUUUUCUCUCCGUCUGUUGUUAUGUGUUCUUGUGCAUUUACGUUCUGUUUCUCUCCGCCUGAAGUUAUGUACUCUGGCUCGGAUUGAUUCAGUUUCUCUCCGCCUGAAGGUAUAUGUUCUUGCUCAGAUUGAUUCAGUUUCUCUCCGUUUGAAUUGAUAUACCUUUGCUCAGACUGAUUCAGUUUCUCUCUGCCUGAAGGUAUUUGCUCUUGCUCGAAUAGAUUUUGUUUCUCUUCAUUUGAAGGUAUAUACUCUUGAUCAGACCGAUUGGGUUGGGCUUCUCUGUUAUUCCACAUCUCUUCCUCUUUCACAUGAUACUUUGCUUCUUUCCAAUCAUCCAUUCUUUCUCCAAUUCCAUUCUCUUCAUUGUACCCUGCCACUCGAUCCCAUUCAUCCUUUACAUCCCCAUUGGGGUUCAGUGCAUGUUGUUCCUCACGUUUGUUAGACAUAUCAUUUUCAUCAUCCACUUUUGUGAAAUUUAUGUCACCUUCCUCCACUCUUUCAACAUGGUGAAAUACCUCUUCUGACCAGUGAGAAGCUUGAGCAGAUUCAUAUGAGAUAAUCUCCUCUUGGUUGAACUUAUCGAUUCUUUCUGUCAUGUCAUUUUCCUUAAUGAAUCCUCCCAAUCUUUCACAAUCAUCGUUACCAUACCCAUAGGGGUGCAAUUCAUCUUCCAAUUGCUCCUCAUGUUUGUUAGACAUAUCAUUUUCAUCCUCUUUUGGGAGAUGAAUAACAUCUUCCUCCAGUCUUUUAACAUGGCGAAAUGCCUCUUCUGAACCGUGGGAGGCUUGAGUGGAUUCAUAUGACAUAUUGUCCUCUUGGUUGAACUCUAUUGGCUUGUUGUAACUUUUCCCCGCCCCAUACUCAAAAGCUUGACUGCUUGUGAAGGUUUCAAAUGCUUGCUCUAGCACUGAUGCAGUUUCAGAUUCCAAGCCUUCGUUUCUCGCCCAUUCAGCAUCUUUCUUUGCUGUUUCAAGCUCUCUUUCCUCCGAUGCAUUCAUGGGACCGUAAGGCAUAUCUAGUAGAGGUUCCUCUUUUUCAAAAUACAUUUCAAAAGGUACAUCAUUAUCAUCAUUCGCUGAGAAAGCAGAAUGUGCCCCUGUCACCGAACCUGCUCUCUCAUAGCUCACUGAAGGGCUGUAGAGCUCUUGAGCAUCAGUGCUGAACACAGUUGGCAUACUGAAGCUGGUCUCGACCCGGUGACUCAUGGCAGAUUCCAGAACGGGUUUCUCUUCAGCAAACCAGGUUCUGACUAUGUUCUGAUCCUCUUCCUCCUUUUCCAUAUCCCACAUGGAUUGUUCCUUGUGGUCAGAUCCAAGCAAAGAUACAACAUCAGCUCCUGCCUCUUCAGUGGGAGGUGAGAGAGGCUCAGCAUAGUUGACUUCUAUAUGGACAUCUUGGGGUCUGAAGUGGUGGACUGAAAUUCCGUCCUGUGGUACUUUGAGGUAAGGCGUUGAACAACUUACCUGGUGGUUGGACCCUACGCCAAAGUCGAUAUGCUCUUCUGUCUUUCGACAACUCUCAGGUGUUUCAUUCAGGGUUACCCGAUUUUGAGUCCAGAUUGGUGAUGCGGACAUCAUUGUCACAUUGGAUCGUGGACUUGCUCUAUGGAUGGUAGAGAUGGGCCUGAUCAUGUGACUGGUAGCCAGCUGUGUCUGGAAGCUUUGCUUAACCCCUCG